Long non-coding RNA from Gopherus flavomarginatus (Mexican gopher tortoise), 1041 nucleotides. RefSeq lists it as uncharacterized. The transcript is spliced from 2 exons. Lineage: Eukaryota; Metazoa; Chordata; Testudines; Testudinidae. The record is from RefSeq and is a predicted model, not a curated record.
UCAGCUCCACAGGUUACACCGAGGAUCUGGCCCAGAGCGAAGACUGCUCAGUCCAUACUCCACAGACCUGUCAAUCCUUGGUCCCUCUGCUGAGACUGCCAGGGGAGGUGGCACAUUCAGCUAGUGCUAAUGUGGGCAUUUGCCCCAGUUUUUGCAGUGCUGUUGUUGUAGCCGUAUUGGUCCCGGGAUAGGAGAGAGACAAGGGAGGGGAGAGAGACACACCGAGCUCUUCGCCAGGUCUGGGCAGGCUCCUCCCAGCGUCACAGCUCAAUGCCAGGUGGACAGAUUGUGAAGCGUAAGGGGUUAUCGCAUGUUGCAAGAAGCCAUUCAAAACGAGGUGGGCAGCUGACACCUUUACAGCCAUAGGACUGAGGAGAGUUGGCGGGUUACAGAGCGUUGUCAUGAGACACAAAACCAGGGUCUCUAUUGACUUAAGCUGGACCCCCAAAAUCACAGACUCUAAGGGACGCUGGCUUUAUGUCUCCUGACACCGAUCUGUAACCCACUAACUCUCCUUUGGGGAAGAAGAGCUCUGUGGAGCUCAAAAGCUUGUCACUUUCACCAACAGAAGCUGGUCCAAUAAAAGAUGUGCCCUGUCAUAAACAGAUAGUUAAGGGUUAAUGUCUCUUUUACCUGUAAAGGGUUAACAAACAGGGAAACAAACACCUGAGCAGGGGACCAAUCAGGAGACAAGAUACUUUCAAAUCUCGGUGGAGGGAAGCCUUUGUUUGGUUUUUUUGGGGUUUGGCUUUGUUCUCUCUGGGCUCUGAGAGUGACCACACGUACCUACAGGCUCUCUAACCUUCUAUUCCAAUUUUGUAAGUACAAAAGGUAAAAAGGCAGUAUAGUCUUUUUAUUUGUUUUCCUUUAUUUGCAACUGUGUACUUUGCUGGAAGUAUUUUAAAUUGUAUUUUGCUGGGGGGAGGCUUCUUUCUAGUUUCUAUAAGCUGACGGACCCUGUAACUUUUUACCAUCUAAAUUGCAGAGAUAAACUUUUACUUUUUAUUUCUUUCUUUUUAUUAAAAGCUUUGCUUUAAGACC